This 1767-nucleotide unclassified non-coding RNA is filed under the name uncultured fungus. RNAcentral describes it as "sequence contains 18S rRNA gene, ITS1, 5.8S rRNA gene, ITS2, 28S rRNA gene". The stretch from base 629 to 1767 matches the Rfam family "Eukaryotic large subunit ribosomal RNA", at positions 1 to 961 of the family's 3401-position model. Lineage: Eukaryota; Fungi. The record is from RNAcentral.
GGAAGGAUCAUUAGCACAACCGUCCACUUGCCACUCCGGCCUCUCCCUUUCUCCUCUCGGGGGGAAGGGAGGCUGGGGUGUCGAGCACCGUGAGAAGUUGAAGUACGUACCCCCACGAGGCAGGGACUCGUCCCUGCUCCGUCCGGGGAGUGCGAUGAGACAGAGUCCGAUACCGAUGCGCCUGAGCCAUCGCUUCACGGCGGUGGAGAUUUCAGUGUCAACUGGAAACAACUCCUGGCAACGGAUAUCUCGGCUCCCGCAACGAUGACGAGCGCAGCGAAAUGCGAUACGUAGUGUGAAUUGCAGAAUCCAGCGAACCAUCGAAGCCUUGAACGCACACUGCACCUGCAGGCGAACUGCAGGUACACCUGUUCGAGCGUCGGCUCAACAUCACACCAAGCACCCCUCCAGGGGGAGUGCGAGGAGUGGACAUGGGCGUCCGCCUGGUAACCCGGGUGGUCGCCUCGAAUCACAGCACCGGUGCUGCGACGUCACCAGCCCUGCCACAGCUGCGAGGAGUUGAAUCCAACUGGCUGAACGGAAGGAAGUCGAUGGGUCGUCGCCUGCAUCCCAGGUGAAAGCAGGAAGGGAGCUUCGGCUCCCUCUCGAGGGUAGAAACCUAAAUCCUCGACCUCGAAUCAGGUGAGAUCACCCGCUGAACUUAAGCAUAUCAAUAAGCGGAGGAAAAGAAACUAACCAGGAUUCCCUCAGUAACUGCGAGUGAAGUGGGAAGAGCUCAAGCUCUUAAUCAGGGGUGGUCCACAUCCCCGAAUUGUAGCCUCGUGAACGGCUUCACGGGUAGCCUGCUGCGGUAGGAGUCCACUGGAACGUGGCGCCAGAGAGGGUGAGAGCCCCGUCCGCGGCCGCAGGGAGACAGGUUGCCGACACGUGCUGCCGAUUCGCAGAGUCGGGUCGUUUGAGAGUACAGCCCAAAGUGGGAGGUGAGCUCCUUCUAAAGCUAAAUAACGGUGGGAGACCGAUAGCGAACAAGUACCGUGAGGGAAAGAUGCAAAGAACUUUGAAAAGAGAGUUAAAAGUGCUUGAAAUUGCCUGGAGGGAAGCGAUCGGCAGCGGCACCUGCCCGCCGGUGGUUCAUCCUCGGACGGCUGCCUGAGCCUGCGCGGUGAGCGGUCCCUUGUGGCCGUCGCCGCGUGGGUCCUAGGUGGUCGCCCGGGGAGCAUUCCAUCGGUGGGCGAGUCAGCAUCGGUGGGGGAGGUUGCAGGAGACCCCGGGUAAGGUGACUCCGCCGUAGGCCUCGAGCCUGCGGUGGGGGGCAAUGACCCGGGAGUCGGCAUCCUCCAUCCCACCGAGGGAUCAACCGGCGCCUUCUUGGCGGGGUAAGUGGUGGGACGGGUUCUCUGAACGUGGGAGACAGCUUGCUGUGUCCUGCGAUCCAGGGGGUCCGCACCUGCCGCACCUCCUGCUGGUUAGAGAUGCUGACCGGAUGCUGCCGAACGUCCCGUCUUGAAACACGGACCAAGGAGUCUAACACGUGCGCGAGCGAUUGGGUUGCAAACCCAGACACGCAGCGAAGGCGACGGGUGGGAGGCCGCGAGGCCCGCACCACCGACCGAUCCCGAGGUUCACCGAGGGACUCGAGUAGGAGCGUACGCGUUGGGACCCGAAAGAUUGCGAACUAUGCCUGUGUAGGGUGAAGCCAGGCGAAAGUCUGGUGGAGGCUCGUAGCGAUACUGACGUGCAAAUCGUUCGUCAAACAUGGGUAUAGCGGCGAAAGACUAAUCGAGCAGUCUAGUAGCUGGUUUCCUC